This 223-nucleotide ribosomal RNA is filed under the name uncultured archaeon. RNAcentral describes it as "partial 16S ribosomal RNA". It matches the Rfam family "Archaeal small subunit ribosomal RNA", at positions 246 to 473 of the family's 1478-position model. The record is from RNAcentral.
GGCCCAACAAGCCCGUAAUCGGUACGGGUUGUGGGAGCAAGAGCCCGGAGUUGGAUUCUGAGACACGAAUCCAGGCCCUACGGGGUGCAGCAGGCGCGAAACCUUUACAAUGCGGGCAACCGUGAUAAGGGAACCUUGAGUGCCUGUAAACGCAGGCUGUUCAGGUGUUUAAAACGCACCUGGAGAAAGGGCCGGGCAAGACCGGUGCCAGCCGCCGCGGUAA